UGGAUAAAGAUAAUUGAGUUUAUUCUACUC
RNAcentral lists this non-coding RNA (30 nucleotides) under Rattus norvegicus (Norway rat). The record is from RNAcentral. Lineage: Eukaryota; Metazoa; Chordata; Mammalia; Rodentia; Muridae.